This 485-nucleotide ribosomal RNA is filed under the name uncultured bacterium. RNAcentral describes it as "partial 16S ribosomal RNA". It matches the Rfam family "Bacterial small subunit ribosomal RNA", at positions 30 to 507 of the family's 1533-position model. The record is from RNAcentral.
AUUGAACGCUGGCGGCAUGCCUUACACAUGCAAGUCGAACGGCAGCACGGGUGCUUGCACCUGGUGGCGAGUGGCGAACGGGUGAGUAAUACAUCGGAACGUACCUUAUCGUGGGGGAUAACGCAGCGAAAGUUGCGCUAAUACCGCAUACGCCCUGAGGGGGAAAGCGGGGGACCGUAAGGCCUCGCGCGAUUAGAGCGGCCGAUGUCUGAUUAGCUUGUUGGUGAGGUAAAAGUUCACCAAGGCGAUGAUCAGUAGCUGGUCUGAGAGGACGAUCAGCCACACUGGGACUGAGACACGGCCCAGACUCCUACGGGAGGCAGCAGUGGGGAAUUUUGGACAAUGGGGGCAACCCUGAUCCAGCAAUGCCGCGUGAGUGAAGAAGGCCUUCGGGUUGUAAAGCUCUUUUGUCAGGGAAGAAACAGCAGCUCUAACACAGUCUGCGAAUGACGGUACCUGAAGAAUAAGCACCGGCUAACUACGUG